This is a non-coding RNA of Pelobates cultripes (western spadefoot toad), 95 nucleotides long. Lineage: Eukaryota; Metazoa; Chordata; Amphibia; Anura; Pelobatidae. The record is from the annotation of a GenBank genome assembly.
AUCAGGAUCAACGUUUCAGUCUUCUCCAAGGACUUUCCUCAUGAUCCUGAUGAAAGUCCUUGGAGAGGACUGAAACGUUGAUCCUGAUUUUAAAA